AAUAUUCUGUCUCGCUUAAUAAUUGAAAUCUCUCUCGGCGCGGCCGCCAGGGUAAGGAAAGGUGCGGAGAGGGUGACGGAGGAAGUGCGCCCGCCCGCUUUGAUUCCCCGAGAUUCGGCAGCGGAGAAACCAGAAGCUAGGAUAGUCCCUCGGGAGCAUGAGGAUGUCAGGCUGCCAGCCUGCCGCGGACCCCACCCUUCGUAGUGCCCCGACCCCCAACGCAGACUUCAUUCUGACAGGCACACCACAACGCAAUUUUGAGUCCUGAAGGUCAAUGGUGGGGUACCUCCUCCCCGACUUAAGUCUUUGACCUCCCUUCGGAUCGCGGCUAGGGCUGAGAGGCUGCGAAGAGGCCUGGCCAUGGGUGUACGGUGGAGAUAUCUCAAGCUGAGUCAGAUCCCCUCUCCAAGCCUCUCCGACCCUGCUGUAUCCCCGCAGGCUGGGUAGCCGGGGUUACUCUGGGCUGCUCACUCGAAUUUAUGGGAACGCCAAACCGGGACUGACCUGCAUGGAGAAAGCAGAGGGAAGAAGAGAGAGCGGGAGGGGGCGGCUGCCUGUAGGAACUCGGGUCUUCCAGGGAAGCGGAGCGGGACUGCCGCGUUCCCCUCGAUUUGCACCGUCACUCCGGCGGGUUGGAAGGAAGAGGGGAGGCGCUGUGCCUGCCUCUGUGUACCUGGAGCUGGGUGCACAAGUGUGUACGGACGUCUGUGCCUCUGUGUGAGUUGUCAGGGCUUUGGCAGCGUCCGGAGCGAGUUCGGAGGUCGCCUCCAGAAACUCGCAGAAACGGGAAGGGGGCAAGAGGAGGACACAACCCCUUCCUCGGAAGGACUUGGACGACUUUGAAUCUCCCCUCCCCCACUUUUCCGCCCCAGCUCUUCUUUUGUUGUCAAGUCCUUUGAUAAAUGGUAGGGCAGGGAGCGCGGGGAGCCAGGAGCCAGUCUGUACCCUCUCGGGGGGCAGGGCCGGGUCUGGCGACCCGGUUUCCUUCGGCGCUGAGCCCCGUACCGCGGGGGUCGAGUCUGGGACCUGCCCUCCGCAGGCUCGCCCUCUCCUUUCUCACCACCCCGUUCCCUCCCCCCGCCUUUUUUGGUCUCUCUUCCACUCCAUACAGGUACCGAGAACUUUCUGGGAAUCGACGGGAUUUCUCUGCGGUUUGCGCUGCCUGUAUCCGAAUAAAUUGAGCUCGCAGGCAUCCGGCAGGAAACGGCUCCCGGUUGGAGUGUACGCCGACGCAUCGGCCCAGCACGGGACGCGAGGUGGCUCCUGGUGAUUGUGUGGCUGUAGGUCGGGCCUCCGAAGGAGGCUGGACUAUCAGCGCCCUCAGGCCGGGAGCGGCCCCUUGCUGCCCUGCAGUGCCCGGCAGCCCCCACCUCUGGUGGUGCUUCGGGAACCUGCCCGGCCAAGUCCGCCCGGGGCGAAAACUGAAAGCAAAUUCCGCGGCAAAUGAAGCCCAAACUUUCUUCGACGCAACUUUGCCACAAUGAUUCGGUGGCGACUUAGGACGGCGCGCUGGUCUGUGCGCGUGCAAGGUGGGGGUGGUGGGCGAAGAAAGCUUGGGGCGGCCGAGCCUGGCCCUAGAUGAAACACUAGGGAAGGCGCCUCCCCUUCCUUAUUUCUCGCCAAUUCCUCGGCCCCAAUCCGUAAAAAUAGUUUCCAAUGUGUGGCGGACGCCCAGGAUGUGUUUGUGGGGAUCGCACCAGGGAAAAGGAAGCUUUGUGAAAGUUGCAGAAAGACCUUUGCCCAGAAGCGUCCGCCCUGCAGGGCUCAAGAAAGCUGAGGACCAGCUCGCCUCUCCCGGGGUGGAAUGCCUAGAAAUCGACUUGGGGAGACCCCAGCCCAGUCCUCUCCUCUCACCUCGAACUCGCGCGUAAAUAACCUCCCGCAGUCUGCGCUGGAAACUCACAAGCGCGGCGCCGCGGUUGGCUGGCGAGGCCGGGACGCUGAGCCGGCCCGCAAGGCCGCUUCUUAGCGCGCUCAGUCCCAGUACCUAAGAGAAGCUUGCACCAAGGUGAGAGGACGAGUGUGCUUUCAGCUCCUGCUCGGCUGUCUAGACCAUCACCGCCGACCUCCCAACUCCCUGGAGCGGGCGCUUCCCCCCUGGGAGCGGCAGUCUUGGGCGGCUGGCUAGGGCGCAAAGUGCGCGCGCGGACCGGCGCGGGGUGGGGGGCGGCUGCCGGUCUCUCCGCGGGGCCUGUCGCCGGGCCGGCCGCGGCGGGUGAGUGAUGAGGGCAGAGAAGGGCGCCCAUAAAUCGCGGGUGUCAGGGCGAAAAACUCUCUUUAUUGUCUGCGUGAUGGAUGGGCCCGGGGACGAGACACCAAAUACUUCGUAUCGCCUUUAAAUGGGAACACAUUUUCCGCGGCCAUAAUUCAUGUUUUUUAAAUAGAAAGUUUGAAAUGUUGCCUAUAUUUCACCGGCCCUGACAUAUUUAUGAAUCGCUCCCUGCAUGCAAAUAUCAUUAUUUAAAGCGCCGGGGAGAGCUGGGGGGGGGGGAGGGGAAGAGGCAUGGCCCCCGUGGCGUGGGGGUGGUGAAUGGGGGAAAUGCGGAUGGUGGAGGGGGUGCAUCUCCCUAAAGCGCGGACAAUGAGGCGCGGGGGAAAUCCUUAUACGGAAGCCGAGCGCACUGGGGCCUCCACUCCCGUCGCUGGACCGAGCACUGCCGCUCCGGGAAGUUUGAGCCGCUUGGGUCCGUGGACAGGCCCCCGCCCCGUGCGGGAAGACCCGGUGGGCCUUUUGCGUCCUUCUCCAAGGCCCUGAUCCGAGUCAAAGCCACCUUUCCCAAGGAAAAAAAAAAAAUUUUUUUUUAAAUAAAAGAAUUUAACAAACACAAAUAAUAA
Molecule: long non-coding RNA, 2835 nt
Organism: Lutra lutra (Eurasian river otter)
Lineage: Eukaryota; Metazoa; Chordata; Mammalia; Carnivora; Mustelidae
Exons: 3
Source: RefSeq, a predicted model, not a curated record